RNAcentral lists this long non-coding RNA (340 nucleotides) under Gossypium barbadense (sea-island cotton). RNAcentral describes it as "long non-coding RNA (GBAR_LNC022126)". Lineage: Eukaryota; Viridiplantae; Streptophyta; Magnoliopsida; Malvales; Malvaceae. The record is from RNAcentral.
AAGGUAAACAAGUAGUGGAACUUUAUACAUUCUAUGUGUUAUACCCCUACCUUGACCUGGACACAUGGCAUCACUAGCGGCGGACGGCCCUCCAAAUUACUCCACUUGGCUGGUCACUGAGUUACUUGCUGCCCGCAUGCUUCACCCUUCAUCAGGCCACCUGCUGAAUAGCGGACCCUCCUUUAGGCCACCUGCUUUUUAGUUCAUUUGUAUGAUCUUUACGGUUUGGUACCCGGUCCGGGAUUUUAAAGUAUAUAUGCUCAUAUUUUGCAACUAAUUGCAGUUUGGAGCAUAACCUUCCUGAUAGUCCGUUUGCGUCUCCUGGGAAAGCCUCUAAAGA